UACGUAGGGUGCGAGCGUUGUCCGGAAUUAUUGGGCGUAAAGAGCUCGUAGGCGGUCUGUCGCGUCGAUCGUGAAAACUUGGGGCUUAACCCUGAGCUUGCGGUCGAUACGGGCAGGCUAGAGUUCGGUAGGGGAGACUGGAAUUCCUGGUGUAGCGGUGAAAUGCGCAGAUAUCAGGAGGAACACCGGUGGCGAAGGCGGGUCUCUGGGCCGAUACUGACGCUGAGGAGCGAAAGCGUGGGGAGCGAACAGG
Molecule: ribosomal RNA, 253 nt
Filed under: uncultured bacterium
Lineage: Bacteria
Description: partial 16S ribosomal RNA
Rfam family: Bacterial small subunit ribosomal RNA
Source: RNAcentral